RNAcentral lists this transfer RNA (77 nucleotides) under bacterium. RNAcentral describes it as "tRNA-Arg". It matches the Rfam family "tRNA". Rfam says of the family: Transfer RNA (tRNA) molecules are approximately 80 nucleotides in length. Their secondary structure includes four short double-helical elements and three loops (D, anti-codon, and T loops). Further hydrogen bonds mediate the characteristic L-shaped molecular structure. tRNAs have two regions of fundamental functional importance: the anti-codon, which is responsible for specific mRNA codon recognition, and the 3' end, to which the tRNAs corresponding amino acid is attached (by aminoacyl-tRNA synthetases). tRNAs cope with the degeneracy of the genetic code in two manners: having more than one tRNA (with a specific anti-codon) for a particular amino acid; and 'wobble' base-pairing, i.e. permitting non-standard base-pairing at the 3rd anti-codon position. RNAcentral also lists the same sequence under 5 other names. The record is from RNAcentral.
GCACCCGUAGCUCAGCAGGAUAGAGCGACCGCCUCCUAAGCGGUAGGCCGUGGGUUCGAAUCCCGCCGGGUGCGCCA